UCUUUAGGGUUUUUGAUGUGAUGAACUUUCACGAGCUGGCUCUCUGAAUCCAUGCCCAAUCCAGCCCAAAGUCCAUCAUCAAGACUUGGAGCAUUUCAAUGCAAAGCCUAAGCCCAAGUUUCUCUAUUUGCUUUAGUAUUUGGAAUGGACAUUAGGGCUCUGAAGUCUCUUAAGCAUAUGCAAAGGCCUUCAAGUGACUAGAGAAUUAGAAGUACAUAGAGAGGUAACAUUUUCGAAACACUAGUUCGUUGGUUUAAUGAAAAUAUGUUAGCUUCCUGCCCCACCCUCAUUUAUUAGACGUAAUUUCAUUUUUGCCCUUUCAUGAACUAAAAACCCUAAGAACGCUACUCUCUCUUCACUCGCCUCUGUCGUGCCUCACGACUCCCCCUCUUUUGUG
Molecule: long non-coding RNA, 397 nt
Filed under: Eucalyptus grandis
Lineage: Eukaryota; Viridiplantae; Streptophyta; Magnoliopsida; Myrtales; Myrtaceae
Description: long non-coding RNA (EGRA_LNC007106)
Source: RNAcentral